Alligator mississippiensis (American alligator) is the source of this 1739-nucleotide long non-coding RNA. RefSeq lists it as uncharacterized. The record is from RefSeq and is a predicted model, not a curated record. The transcript has 3 exons. Lineage: Eukaryota; Metazoa; Chordata; Crocodylia; Alligatoridae.
UACGCGAAUGUCCCGGGCGGCCCGCACGCUCGCACGCACGGUGUGCUAUGGCUGCAUGUCCGCUGCCGCGGGCCCUGCCGGACCCUGCCAUGGCCGUGUGAAGGGGCGUCCAUCGGGAUCCUCGAAAGGGGGAGGCCCUCGUGCUCCGUAUGCUCACGUUAUGCGGCUCCACGCAGACAAGCCGCUAUAGAGGGGACGAGGCGGGGCUGCGAAGCGCUUGCAAUGGUCGGACGCGGAGACGCUGCUCGAGCCGCAGCGAGCUGUUAUGCCCGGGCCGGCGACACCCCUCCGCGUCCUGGGCAAGUGCGCAGGACAAGUCCUAUGAGGGGAGACAGAGGGACCCGGACCUCUUCGGACUCCACAGGAGAAGGCUGAGAGAUAUUGCUAUUAUUGAGGCACUGGCAUACACUGUCAUUUUGAGGGAUCCUGCCUCUGUUUUCUCCCAUGGCCAAGGAAGCCACUGGGCAACAAAGAAUUCAAAAUCUACUUUGGAGAAGGAGAGCAGACAUAAUGGAGGUAAUUCAGUAACCACAGAAGUAGGAUUCUCUCCCAGGAAGGAAGACAGGACUGUAUUCCUAUCCUUGCUGCUAGAGGAAAUUAUUAAGUACCAGAAAAACUGCUUGAGUAGUAGUAGUAGUGCGUUUGCAUUUCAAGAAAGAGACUGUAGAUGCAAAACCAGCUGUGUGUAGCCAUGUUUUCUUUACUGCUCCCCAGUCAUCUAAUGACCAAAGCACAAUUUUCUGGGGUCAGAGAUGGUAGCUUCAAGUCCCAACUGAGCUGUAGCUGUCUGUAGUUCUAGUUCCUUUGGGGAAAAGGAUAACACAGUGGUCACAGUCUUAUUUGGCAAUGCAGAAGACCUGUCUUCAAGUUGAGGAUCUUAAGAAAAGCAAGGCAGGUAAAGAGCAGAGGGAGAACAAUGAACAUUAGAGAAGCAGAUUUUAACCAGCCAUUAAAAGCAGUAGGCAAGGUCACAUGGAUAGAUGACUUGCCUCCCACAUGCACUGUCUGUCUGGGGCUGAUCCUCAUGAAACCAGAUGCGACAGGAAACCCAAUGAGGAAAGCUUGCCCUGGGAUGAUCCAGGGACCCCAUGGGAACCCGUGUCAGUAACACGGGAAUCUUUACUUAUGACAACCCUGAAGAAGGCUCUGACUGGGGUUCAGCAGAUCCCACUGCCCCUCCCUGACAUAUGCAAGCGUUUCCUAAAAGGUCACCGGCCCCUGAAACAGCAGGUGUCUCCCUUCAGUGCCUGCUGCCCCAGUCACUAGCACUGCAGCUCAGUCAUGGUGACCUCAAUGACAUGAUAUGUCAACAGGUUAUGCCCAUCCCCACUUUACAUUCAAGUGUAUUACUGCUCCCUCUCCCACCCUCAACUCAAAACUCACCACCAGGGGAGCUCCUUGAGAAGCCCCUAUCGGAGCUGGCUCCUCUGCAUCCAAUUCUCUUCCCUGUCCUUCUGAAGGACCAGAUGAUCUGAGGAAGCGGUCAGAGCACACUCUGCCUACCAGAUUGUGGUGCCUCCAGGACCUGGCCUGGAAUGCAGGAUUUCUCAGACUCACCAAUAUAUAUCUGGAUUAGUGGCUGGGCUCCUGGAACUGGAGCCAGGCGUGGCCAUCUGGCUCAUCCUCUGGUGGAUUUUUGGGACCUGAGAGGCCCAAGUCACCCACCUGGGGUCGACCUUCUCCCCUCUCCUGAGUGAAGAAAAGGCUAAUUUUUUUCCCCAUAGUAGGUCCAGGGGUCC